CUAGUGCCGGGCGGCUACAUAAUUACUGGAAGCCAGCUAGUGCCAGGGGGCUACAUAAUUACUGGAAGCCAGCUAGUGCCAGGGGGCUACAUAAUUACUGGAAGCCAGCUAGUGCCAGGGGGCUACAUAAUUACUGGAGGUGCCGGGUGGCUACAUAAUUACUGGAAGCCAGCUAGUGCCGGGCGGCUACAUAAUUACUGGAAGCCAGCUAGUGCCGGGCGGCUAUAUAAUUACUUGAAGCCAGCUAGUGCCAGGGGGCUACAUAAUUACUGGAAGCCAGCUAGUGCCAGGGGGCUACAUAAUUACUGGAAGCCAGCUAGUGCCGGGCGGCUACAUAAUUACUUGAAGCCAGCUAGUGCCGGGCGGCUACAUAAUUACUGGAAGCCAGCUAGUGCCAGGCGGCUACAUAAUUACUGGAAGCCAGCUUGCUCCAAGCAACAAUUUGCGGCAUUGGGAUUCCAAUUACGCUCAUUAGCCGUUGGAUCAUUGCAACCUUCCAUCUGAAAAGGGAUUGUCGCGUACCAGGUGUCGAUAACAUAUGUUGUUAGCUUGUUACUGUAGGAGAGGUAGUGUAUCAUAGCCCAUCAAUCACUCAAGACUAGCUUGUUACUGUAGGAGAGGUAGUGUAUCAUAGCCCCCAUCAAUCACUCAAGACUAGCUUGUUACUGUAGGAGAGGUAGUGUAUCAUAGCCCCCAUCAAUCACUCAAGACUAGCUUGUUACUGUAGGAGAGGUAGUGUAUCAUAGCCCCCAUCAAUCACUCAAGACUAGCUUGUUACUGUAGGAGAGGUAGUGUAUCAUAGCCCCCAUCAAUCACUCAAGACUAGCUUGUUACUGUAGGAGAGGUAGUGUAUCAUAG
RNAcentral lists this long non-coding RNA (858 nucleotides) under Salmo salar (Atlantic salmon). Its description in RNAcentral is "lncRNA (ENSSSAG00000086130.1)". The record is from RNAcentral. Lineage: Eukaryota; Metazoa; Chordata; Actinopteri; Salmoniformes; Salmonidae.